This 140-nucleotide long non-coding RNA is filed under the name Chinchilla lanigera (long-tailed chinchilla). RNAcentral's name for it is "lncRNA (ENSCLAG00000028977.1)". Lineage: Eukaryota; Metazoa; Chordata; Mammalia; Rodentia; Chinchillidae. The record is from RNAcentral.
CAACAGCCACUCGUGGUCCUUCCCCAGCGAGCCCCUGCAGCUCCUGGUCACAGGAGACGGGAACACCAGCUUCGCCUCCUCGGACCCCACCUCUCCCGCAGGUGAGGCCCUGGGCUGCUGAGCUCUGGGGAGGAUCAGCC